GCAAGAAUAUAUAAAGUAAGUAUGUGUGUUAGGAACUGAAGAAGGAUAAGUAUAUAAAACCGGAUACUCAUUGAAAAGAAUAACUGGAUGGUAAAUUAUUGAAAAGAGGAAACUCGGCCCGUUACAAAUGGUGACCAGCUAGUGGGAUUAUUUUCAUUUGAGAACCAAUUUGAAGGAAUGAGGUGUGGUACUUUGGUGAAUUUGUUUUCUCAAAAUACAGUAUACAGUAAUGUACAAUUUUGUCAUCAGUAAAGAGUACAAAUAAGUGUGUGAUUUAAAGUACAAACUUUUGUGUCAAGUACUGUACAAUACUAAUGUAUUUGGAACUGCAAAGAUAUUUUGUUAAAGAGUUAAGGGAAGAACUAACAAUUGAUUCACUUUCACAAUUGUUUUUUGUGCAAGAAAGUUAUAACUUUUUGGGUGUCACAAAGUUAGGUAAAGCACCAACUUUUUAGUAAGCUACCUAACUGAUCUUUUGAGUUUUUAUUGUGUGAAAUUUCUAAAGUGGUAAUUGCACAUUAGUGUAAAUUUUAUUUUUAUAUUUGUGACCAGGGAAUUAAUAUAUUGAUAUUUACAGACAUUGAGUGGGCAGUAUACAUCUUCCAUGUUAAAAGUGUGAUGAACAGUGUUCAUCUCCGAUUGCCAGCGGAAGUGUCAGUUGUACAAAGGUUAUGUAAUCCAAUGUUUUAUUUGUAGCUGUGGCAUUUAUUGGAAAUAUUGGUGUGAUUUCAAUAGAAAGUGUUCAGACUCUCACUUGAAGUAUUUUUCUAACUUGAAUUUAUAUUAUAUCACCUGAAUUGAGUGUUAUAUGAUUUCUCUUUGUGUGUAUUUAAUUAUUUUCGGUUCUUUUUCUAGUGACUUUAAUUGUGAUUUAACUAGAAAGGGUUUUAGUUUCCAUUUGAUGUCAGUUUAUGACAAGUGAAUUUAUUGAUAUAACAAAAGUUUAGUGUUAGAGAUUUUUCCAUAUGGCAUUUUUAAUCUGUUUCUUUAACUGAUAAUUUCAUUAAAGACUGCAAUACAAUUUCUUACAGUGUAGACUUAUAUGCAUUGUUAAUAAAUGUGCUAUAUGUAUUUGAGAACUAAUGCCUGUGUAUUUUCAGCAAAUGUGUUGAUUGGGUUGAGAACCCUGUGGUGAGAUGGAUGCCUCUAAGAAUGCAAUCUCUGAAACCAGAUACUAGUUGAAAUUACAAGUAAGGUCCACCAAGUGUUGAGUACAGCACAUAGUCCAGAUAAUUGAAAAGAGACAGUGAAUACUUGUCGAGUACCGAAAAUCGGCUUUUCUGUAGUCAUUCCUGAAAUGAAGAGUGAUAUUUUCAUGGGACAUUCUUGUCAAGUAUCAUCACUUAAUGUUUUAGCAUUACUCUGAGUACCUUGUGAAGUGAAACUUCUGUGUUGUUUUCUUUAGAGAUCGUUAAUUUUUUGUGUGACAGUCUCCGAUACUAUUACCAAUAAUUUUCAUGAUUGUAAUUUAAGAAGUAUCCUAUGCAAGUUUGUGUUAAUGUUUACCCCCGUGUCUUGAAGGGUGUUAAUUGAGUUUAUCUUUGGUGGGGUAGUUUUGUAGAAGUUUGUUGGGACAUCAACGCACGAUGAUCACAGUAGUUGUUAAUAAGUUGCAACUCGUAUGCAAAGAAGACUGAGAAAGCUAGUGGUUGUCAUGGCUACUAGAAUUUGGGUGUUUGAGAAGGGAGAAGGUCAGAUCUUACGUCUCAGGUUUACCCAUCGUUAUUUCAAACAACAUCCAGAAAUAUGCGUGAGCGUCAAUUCGGAUUCAAGUAUAUAUGUUCCUUUUAGUAACGUAACCUCGAAAGCAGUCUGUUUGCUCACCGGUACAAUACUUGGGUAGUAUGAGCUAAUCCCGGAGCGAGAAAUUUCUUAUUUAGAUACUGCAGGGACCAAUCUAGGGAACAUUCCACAAGUAUAUGAUGAAUUAUGUAAAGUCAGUCAAGCAAAGGAAAUAUCCUUAUGUGCAUCCCAUUACUUGGCGAUCCAGCUUGAACAGAAGAAUAGGCCCAGUACCUUGAAAGUCAUUCCAGUAGAUGAUAAUAAUGCUCCCCCCCCACUCCUUGUGUGAUCUGUAAUGGCAUACCAACAUCUUCCAUCAAUAACGUAAGGCUUAUUCAGGGGAUUUCGAACAGCAUGAUACCAUAUUGUGAUGAAGUAAAUAUG
This 2166-nucleotide long non-coding RNA is filed under the name Homarus americanus (American lobster). Its description in RNAcentral is "uncharacterized LOC121854060, transcript variant X4". Lineage: Eukaryota; Metazoa; Arthropoda; Malacostraca; Decapoda; Nephropidae. The record is from RNAcentral.